This 76-nucleotide transfer RNA is filed under the name Candidatus Dormiibacterota bacterium. Its description in RNAcentral is "tRNA-Gln". It matches the Rfam family "tRNA". Rfam says of the family: Transfer RNA (tRNA) molecules are approximately 80 nucleotides in length. Their secondary structure includes four short double-helical elements and three loops (D, anti-codon, and T loops). The record is from RNAcentral. RNAcentral also lists the same sequence under 1 other name. Lineage: Bacteria; Bacillati; Candidatus Dormiibacterota.
UGGGGCGUAGCCAAGUUGGUAAGGCGCCGCGCUCUGGACGCGGAGAUCCUGGGUUCGAGUCCUAGCGCCCCAGCCA